CUGUUUUGGGAGUGUCAGUGCUUCUUGGAAAAAUUAAAAAUCUUUUAAUCAACAACAGUCUUUGCACUUGAGGAUUUGAGUGUUAACAUUUGCCCUUAUCUUUCACAGUUGAAAAUCCUACGUCAACUUCUGUGACUGUUACAUACACUGGACAAAAAAGAGCCAGAGAGGUGGAUGACUAAGGAUGUCUUGACCUGUCCUGUGUAGACUCCUGCAAUGAGGAUGAUCAGAGCCCAGUCAGAGGCUUUCACUGGGGAUGAAAAAAGGAAAAGAGAAGAAGGCAAAGAAACAAAUUGAGCCACGCCAAGCUACACUGAGUAAACCAUGGAGUGAAGCAGAAAGGAUGGCAGUGGAAAAGCAGUUGGGAAACUUUAUGGCAGAGCGAAGAGUUUCUGGCAGAGAGGAUUGUCUGCAGGCUAUACAAGCUGAGAAGGCCCUGAGUGAAAGACAGAGAACUCUAAACGUAAGUGGGACAAGAGUGACGUAGGUGCUGUUGAAAGACACAUGAUGCACUUCAUACACGCUUGCAAGAUACCACAGAAGAUGGACUGUCUUUGGUGUAUCAAUGCAGAGCCCGCACUGAGAGACCGCAAAUGGAUUGGUGUAAAAAAUUACGUCAGAAAUCGAAUCACUGCUUUAAAGAGUAAGGCUUGUGCUAAACAAUAACGACAUUUUUUGUUGCUUUUCAUUUUUUCGUUGCUUGUUACUGAACUAACAGACAAAAUCUUGAACUCCUGUGUUGUUAAAGUGCACCUUUGCAAAGUAUGCUUGUUCGAUGUAUACUGUUAGCUAAAACAUACUUGUUUUCUAAAAAACAGUUUACAGAAUAGUAGCACUCUACCUGUUACUUAA
Nerophis ophidion (straightnose pipefish) is the source of this 852-nucleotide long non-coding RNA. RefSeq lists it as uncharacterized. The transcript has 5 exons. The record is from RefSeq and is a predicted model, not a curated record. Lineage: Eukaryota; Metazoa; Chordata; Actinopteri; Syngnathiformes; Syngnathidae.